CAGGCGCAGGCUCGCUGGAGAGCAGCCGCCCGGCUCGGUGCCGCGCGGCGCCAGCGGCCGGAGCUGCGAGGCCGGGGUCGGGGCCGGGGAGAUGCGUCCGCCGACCCUGCGGCCUCCGCGGGGGCCUCCCCCCGCCCCCCCCCCCCCCCCCCGGCCUCCAGAGCUCAGAUCGGACUAGGAAGCAGGGUUUGUCCGCAGCGGCAAAUGCAACGGGGCAGUUUCCACGGCUCACGUUGGUGUUUUCAGCCUGGCGCUGGCCUCUCAGUGACAGCAGCACAGCCAGACCUGCGGAGGAUUUCGGGGGGCUCCCUGACCGCGCCGCAGCCUACUCCGGGGGCCCAGCUUCUGCUGCCGAAACGCUCCCCGCGGAGGGCUUGGCCUCAUUCCGCCGAGUCUCCGCGGGACUCCCAGUGAGAAAAGAAAUGCUCCUCAGUGCCUCUUCCCUCUUGUGAAACGCUUCCUUCUGCUCAGGGGACACGUGUGACCUGUGCACGUGGGGGGCUUUUGUGCACUUGUGCCCACGGCACUGCGAUGGGUCCUUAGUGUGAUUGUCUCUGCAGGGCCAGAGUCAGGCCGCUGCUGCUCUUCAGUGAGAUCAGUGCUGCCCGGCAGGGGCCGCUAGCAAUGUUCUGACAAGUCCUGCAGACUCUGCCAAGACAGCAGGAGCCCAGGCCUCACGGAUCUCCAGGGAUCAUUGUGUGUCCUCAGCAGCAGCCUGGCAGAAACACGGAACCACACGCCUGUGUCAGCUUAGUGACUCAGCAAACGGAGAGGCUCUGCUUCCACCGGGGCCCCUCCAGCCGGCCCAUGGGUUGGGUGGUGCUUCCUGGCCCUGCGGCUGUACCCUGACCCUGUUGGGUGCCAUGGCCGCUGGUAGGGGUGGGCGGCCCGCUCUGACCUCAGACCCCAUCCAGAAGCGCCUGCUGCCAUGCAGCAUGGGAAGCCCCCCGCCCCUCGCCCUGUACUUGGUUAGAGAAAGAUCUGGAAGAUACGCAACUGGAAAACAAGGUGUCGCUGGUGGUGAGGAGUUGCUGGCAGGCGAGUACCAUGCCCAAGGCGGGGAGGAAGAGCGUCUAGACUGAAAGUAAACGCACUACCUAAAAGGCGAGAAUGAGUCGUAGCUGAUGGACAAAACUGAGGCCAAGCCCAGGACACAGCCUCUCAGGGGCCCUUAGGGAGGCUCCAAAGAGGUCAGAGAGGAGCCGGAUCCACAGGAGUUUUUGCAACAAAAACCAUGUAGUCGGAACAUCAAAAGAUUAGUUAGAGAAAACCAGGCAUUUCAAGUGAAGGAGUGCAGCGCUUUUUUGUGUGGGGGGAGCUGUGGGUCUGGCUCCCGAAGUCAUUCCUGGACGUGACCCCUCGCCCCCCAGGGCCAGGGUCCUGUGCCUUCCCUGCCUGAGUCCCUGGGAGUGCUGUGGGGACACUGUGGUGGCUUGAUGGCUGCAGCAUCCUUUGUUGACUCACAUGACAGGCGACACUCCUCACUCACAGUGUCGUAAUGACUGGACCUGACAGGCAGUGUGAGCAGGGCUUCCUCCGCCAGCCCCAGAGACUGGUGCGGGAAAGCACGUGGCUGCUGCGGGACCUGCGACGGGAGCCAUCAGAACCCAGUGACUGAGGGCUGUGCCCACGCCUGCAGAGCAUCCUGUGGGCCGGGACCCAGGCACACACUAUAAUGAGAAGAGGAAACUGAUGCUCAGAAAGGCUGAGUCAUUUACCCGGGGCCACACAG
Molecule: long non-coding RNA, 1732 nt
Filed under: Sus scrofa (pig)
Lineage: Eukaryota; Metazoa; Chordata; Mammalia; Artiodactyla; Suidae
Description: lncRNA (ENSSSCG00045024613.1)
Source: RNAcentral